CCUACUGUAUCUUCACAGGCAUCAUGGAGGUCGUGGGACAAAUGCAGGAGCCCCUCUGCUCCAGCAGGGAUAACACACCUGGGACCUCGGACACUUGUGUGGAAUUCUGGGAGCUGUAGUCCAGACAGAAGCUCAUCAGGCAGUAAGCUGAGACACACCUCCUCCUCUUCAGUCAACUCCUCCUCAUCCUCCACCUUCGAGGAGUCCUGCAGUGAGAUUCAAUGACUUACACCACCUACAGAUCAGAACCUAAAGGAGUGAGGAUGAGCUGCAGCCUGUACUCACAUUUGCAAUGAGGUUAUCAAAGAACUGUUCCAACGCGGCUUCAUCCAUGACUAAGGAAUACUUCCAGGACCACUCAGGGACCUGGUUCUGAUCAAUGAGUAAACAAACUACC
Long non-coding RNA from Lates calcarifer (barramundi perch), 397 nucleotides. RefSeq lists it as uncharacterized. NCBI's taxonomy places the organism in Eukaryota, Metazoa, Chordata, Actinopteri, Centropomidae. The transcript is spliced from 3 exons. The record is from RefSeq and is a predicted model, not a curated record.